RNAcentral lists this unclassified non-coding RNA (329 nucleotides) under soil metagenome. RNAcentral's name for it is "partial contains 5.8S ribosomal RNA, internal transcribed spacer 2, and large subunit ribosomal RNA". The stretch from base 1 to 120 matches the Rfam family "5.8S ribosomal RNA", at positions 35 to 154 of the family's 154-position model. The record is from RNAcentral.
GAUGAAGAACGUAGCGAAAUGCGAUAAGUAGUGUGAAUUGCAGAAUUCAGUGAAUCAUCGAAUCUUUGAACGCACAUUGCGCCCCUUGGUAUCCCGAGGGGCAUGCCUGUUCGAGCGUCAUUUCACCACUCAAGCCUGGCUUGGUGUUGGGCGACGUCCCCUUUGGGGACGCGCCUCGAAACGUUCGGCGGCGUGGCACCGGCUUUAAGCGUAGCAGAAUCUUUCGCUUUGGAAGUCGGGGCCCCGUCUGCCGGAAGACCUACUCGCAAGGUUGACCUCGGAUCAGGCAGGGAUACCCGCUGAACUUAAGCAUAUCAAUAAGCGGAGGA